UGUUUCGGCUAGGGGGUCAUCCCGACUUACCAACCCGAUGCAAACUACGAAUACCGAAGAAUGUUAUCACGGGAGACACACGGCGGGUGCUAACGUCCGUCGUGAAGAGGGAAACAACCCAGACCGCCAGCUAAGGUCCCAAAGUCAUGGUUAAGUGGGAAACGAUGUGGGAAGGCACAGACAGCCAGGAUGUUGGCUUAGAAGCAGCCAUCAUUUAAAGAAAGCGUAAUAGCUCACUGGUCGAGUCGGCCUGCGCGGAAGAUGUAACGGGGCUAAACCAUGCACCGAAGCUGCGGCAGCGACACUAUGUGUUGUUGGGUAGGGGAGCGUUCUGUAAGCCUGCGAAGGUGUGCUGUGAGGCAUGCUGGAGGUAUCAGAAGUGCGAAUGCUGACAUAAGUAACGAUAAAGCGGGUGAAAAGCCCGCUCGCCGGAAGACCAAGGGUUCCUGUCCAACGUUAAUCGGGGCAGGGUGAGUCGACCCCUAAGGCGAGGCCGAAAGGCGUAGUCGAUGGGAAACAGGUUAAUAUUCCUGUACUUGGUGUUACUGCGAAGGGGGGACGGAGAAGGCUAUGUUAGCCGGGCGACGGUUGUCCCGGUUUAAGCAUGUAGGCUGGUUAUCCAGGCAAAUCCGGAUAAUCAAGGCUGAGGUGUGAUGACGAGGCACUACGGUGCUGAAGUAACAAAUGCCCUGCUUCCAGGAAAAGCCUCUAAGCAUCAGGUAACAU
RNAcentral lists this ribosomal RNA (726 nucleotides) under Klebsiella pneumoniae. RNAcentral describes it as "partial 23S ribosomal RNA". It matches the Rfam family "Bacterial large subunit ribosomal RNA", at positions 911 to 1637 of the family's 2925-position model. The record is from RNAcentral. Lineage: Bacteria; Pseudomonadati; Pseudomonadota; Gammaproteobacteria; Enterobacterales; Enterobacteriaceae.